This 347-nucleotide ribosomal RNA is filed under the name uncultured bacterium. RNAcentral describes it as "partial 16S ribosomal RNA". It matches the Rfam family "Bacterial small subunit ribosomal RNA", at positions 338 to 682 of the family's 1533-position model. The record is from RNAcentral.
CCUACGGGUGACAGCAGUGAGGAAUAUUGGUCAAUGGCCGGAAGGCUGAACCAGCCAUGCCGCGUGAAGGGCAGGGACCUAGGGGCGUUAAACUUCUUUUGUGCGGGAGCAAGAAUGGUCACGUGUGGCCAGACGAGAGUACCGUACGAAUAAGCAUCGGCGAACUCCGUGCCAGCAGCCGCGGUAAUACGGGGGAUGCAAGCGUUAGCCGGAGUGCGUGGGUUUAAAGGGUGCGUAGGCUGUGAGGUAAGUCAGCGGUGAAAUGCCCCCGCUCAACGGGGUGAAGUGCCAUUGAUACUGCCUUGCUGGCCUGCGGCUGCCGUGGGCGGAAUGUGUGUUGUAGCGGU